AACGAACGCUGGCGGCAUGCCUAACACAUGCAAGUCGAACGAGACCUUCGGGUCUAGUGGCGCACGUGUGCGUAACGCGUGGGAACCUGCCCUUAAGUUCGGAAUAACUCCCCGAAAGGGGUGCUAAUACCGGAUAAUGUCUUCGGACCAAAGAUUUAUCGCCUUUGGAUGGGCCGGCGUUGGAUUAGCUAGUUGGUAGGGUAAAAGCCUACCAAGACGACGAUCAAUAGCUGGUCUGCGAGGAUGAUCAGCCACACUGGGACUGAGACACGGCCCAGACUCGUACGGGGGGCAGUAGUAGGGACUAUUGGCCAAGGGGCGACAGCCUGAUCCAGCAAUGCCGCGUGAGUGAUGAAGGCCUUAGGGUUGUAAAGCUCUUUUACACGGGAUGAUAAUGACAGUACCGGGAGAAUAAGCUCCGGCUAACCCCGUG
RNAcentral lists this ribosomal RNA (433 nucleotides) under uncultured bacterium. Its description in RNAcentral is "partial 16S ribosomal RNA". It matches the Rfam family "Bacterial small subunit ribosomal RNA", at positions 29 to 507 of the family's 1533-position model. The record is from RNAcentral.